CCAACUAUUUUGAACUAUUCAAGAACAAUUUACAACACCUUCGAAAGGUGUGUUCUUGACACUUACAAGACAUUUCUUGUAAAUACCCUUUCCAAUGUCCAUCCUUUCAUAAAGAAAGUUUGUUCCCUUGGAGUUAAUUUAAUCUUCUUCAUUUGACUUCUCCUUUGACUAUAAUAGUCAUGGUCCCUAAACUCCCACUAUCUCUCUUGAAACUUAUUUCAAUUGUGUUAUACACAUCAAAACAUUUUGGAGAGCAUGUGGUUAUUGUUCAUUUAUAUAGUUUACAAUAAACUUAAUGAACCAUAAGGAUAGGGACACAAAGGUGAAGUCCUUGCCUAGUUUCCGUCUCAUUAAGUGGUUUAUCACU
This 367-nucleotide long non-coding RNA is filed under the name Malus domestica (apple). RNAcentral describes it as "long non-coding RNA (MDOM_LNC019573)". Lineage: Eukaryota; Viridiplantae; Streptophyta; Magnoliopsida; Rosales; Rosaceae. The record is from RNAcentral.